CAAUUAAGGUGGUCUUAAUAAUGAUAUGACAAGCAGCAUUUGUGAAUAUUUACUCUGAAUGUAACAAGAUGAAUGACGUGCACCUCCUCUGUUUCAGCAUCAUCAAUCUCUCCAUUAGUCAUGGUCUUGAUAACUCCUAUUAUCUGUACCUUUGUUGGAUGAAUGAACGAAGGCACUGGGCUUUAUUACACAACAGACUCAUGGACUGAUAUGUCAGUGGGUGUUCUGACUGAUGUAUCCAUGUAUACUAUUUGCCUCCUCACAAGUUUGACUCUCUGCUGCUUUCAAGGGCUUAUAGCAUGUAAUCCUGACGGAGAACCCACAUUCAAAUUAUGAACAACAAUUGAAUAGAAGAGAUAGGAAUAUCGCUGUCAAACGCUUACCUAAUUAUUUUUCUAGAAGAGUUACAAAGAAAUACAAAGAGUAUUGACAAAGUGUACAUAACAUUAACUAGGCACCAGAAACAUUUUUAAGAAUGUUCUGCACAAUUAUAAGCCUGGCCCUAUACCCCACAAAAUGGUACAGAAGGAGAGAGAAGAGCAAUUUACAUAGGAUACAAAGAGCUGUAUCAUUCUUGAAGUUACACCUCUGAACUAUAUCUGAUUUUCACAUAUUUGGGCUUUUUAAAGACAGUAUAAUGAGUUUUCAAAUGCCUGGUUAAGAGAAGCAUCAAAAAGAGCAUGAAGAACUAAGGUGGGAAAUUCUACCACAAAAUUUAAUUUACUUCCUUUCUAAUAUUCAUCCCAGUGAUUUAAUCCCUUAGCUCUAAGGAAAUGCAACUUAGCAAACUAAAGCAAAUUUAUCACUUCUGAAAACUGCUAGAAAACCCCCAAGACAGAACAAUUACUCCCAACAACAAGAAUGGCCAAAUCUGGAAAAUCCGCCACGUCCUUUGUUAUUAGGAGAAUAAGGAAAAUCUCCAGGUAUAAGCAUGAGAAACACUAGUAUCUGAAGUAUUGACAGAGAAAGAGAAUCUCAUAUGGUUUAUCUACUUGAUGGUUUUACAGACACUGAUCCAGAAGGGCUGC
RNAcentral lists this long non-coding RNA (1028 nucleotides) under Homo sapiens (human). RNAcentral's name for it is "HSALNT0214041". The record is from RNAcentral. Lineage: Eukaryota; Metazoa; Chordata; Mammalia; Primates; Hominidae.